Molecule: long non-coding RNA, 441 nt
Filed under: Salvia miltiorrhiza (redroot sage)
Lineage: Eukaryota; Viridiplantae; Streptophyta; Magnoliopsida; Lamiales; Lamiaceae
Description: long non-coding RNA (SMIL_LNC008275)
Source: RNAcentral
GCUGUCACCGAACUUCCAUUCAAAACCUUGGUCUCCCCGCAGGGAACCCGACUGUCGUAGUUCAGCGGGGGUCCUCCAUAUCCGCAGCACGCCAUCAACGCCUGUUCGAAUCCUGUAAGUCCCUCCAAAUAUAUUAUUAAUAUUUUGCCAAAGUAUUUCAAGAACAAGAGAAACUUUCUUAUUCAUUGUGCUUACCAUAUCUAGAGUAGUUUGCAAUGAGGUUGGACUUAAUUGUGAAAAUGUCGAUGUACGUGAUGUUUGAAUCUUGAUACUGCCCCUGCAACUUUUUGCAGAGAGCAUGCAGCUGCAGGUUGAAUAGCCUUGAAGCUUGAUUGUGAGAACUGACGCAUCCGAGCUCAUCUAGCUUGGACGCGUCCCCUCCAAAUUUGGCAAUGUUUUGAGGCAGGCAGCCGAGGGGGCCCGUGUUGUGAAUCCAGAAGU